GACGAACCGUGCAAACGUUGUUCGGAAUCACUGGGCUUAAAGGGCGCGUAGGCGGGUGGUCAAGUCAGGGGUGAAAUCUUUCCGCUCAACGGGAAAACAGCUUUUGAUACUGGCCAUCUUGAGGGGGGUAGGGGCAUGUGGAACUUCCGGUGGAGCGGUGAAAUGCGUAGAUAUCGGAAGGAACGCCGGUGGCGAAAGCGACGUGCUGGACCCUUUCUGACGCUGAGGCGCGAAAGCCAGGGGAGCAAACGGG
Molecule: ribosomal RNA, 253 nt
Filed under: uncultured bacterium
Lineage: Bacteria
Description: partial 16S ribosomal RNA
Rfam family: Bacterial small subunit ribosomal RNA
Source: RNAcentral